AACGUAAGUUUUUAACUUAAGUAGCGAACGGGUGAGUAACACGUGAGAAUUUACAUUUAGGAGGGGGAUAACUAUUGGAAACGAUAGCUAAAACCCCAUAUACUUAUAGUAAAAUAGAAUUUUUUUCUGCCUAAGAAAAAGCUCGCGGCUGAUUAGCUAGUUGGUAGGGUAAAGGCCUACCAAGGCGAUGAUCAGUAUCUGGUCUGAGAGGAUGAUCAGACACACUGGAACUGAGAUACGGUCCAGACUCC
This 251-nucleotide ribosomal RNA is filed under the name uncultured bacterium. RNAcentral's name for it is "partial 16S ribosomal RNA". It matches the Rfam family "Bacterial small subunit ribosomal RNA", at positions 65 to 339 of the family's 1533-position model. The record is from RNAcentral.